GGGCCUGUAGCAUAGUCUGGAUAAUGCACCGGCCUUCUAAGCCGGGGAUCGGGGGUUCGAAUCCCUCCAGGCCCA
This 75-nucleotide transfer RNA is filed under the name Candidatus Woesearchaeota archaeon. RNAcentral describes it as "tRNA-Arg". It matches the Rfam family "tRNA". From Rfam's summary of the family: Transfer RNA (tRNA) molecules are approximately 80 nucleotides in length. Their secondary structure includes four short double-helical elements and three loops (D, anti-codon, and T loops). Lineage: Archaea; Nanobdellati; Candidatus Woesearchaeota. The record is from RNAcentral.